This 1537-nucleotide ribosomal RNA is filed under the name Streptococcus suis. RNAcentral describes it as "bacterial SSU rRNA". It matches the Rfam family "Bacterial small subunit ribosomal RNA". The record is from RNAcentral. Lineage: Bacteria; Bacillati; Bacillota; Bacilli; Lactobacillales; Streptococcaceae.
AGAGUUUGAUCCUGGCUCAGGACGAACGCUGGCGGCGUGCCUAAUACAUGCAAGUAGAACGCUGAAGUCUGGUGCUUGCACUAGACGGAUGAGUUGCGAACGGGUGAGUAACGCGUAGGUAACCUGCCUCAUAGCGGGGGAUAACUAUUGGAAACGAUAGCUAAUACCGCAUAACAGUAUUUACCGCAUGGUAGAUAUUUGAAAGGAGCAAUUGCUUCACUAUGAGAUGGACCUGCGUUGUAUUAGCUAGUUGGUGAGGUAACGGCUCACCAAGGCUUCGAUACAUAGCCGACCUGAGAGGGUGAUCGGCCACACUGGGACUGAGACACGGCCCAGACUCCUACGGGAGGCAGCAGUAGGGAUCUUCGGCAAUGGGGGGCAACCCUGACCGAGCAACGCCGCGUGAGUGAAGAAGGUUUUCGGAUCGUAAAGCUCUGUUGUAAGAGAAGAACUGUGAGAAGAGUGGAAAGUUUCUCACUUGACGGUAUCUUACCAGAAAGGGACGGCUAACUACGUGCCAGCAGCCGCGGUAAUACGUAGGUCCCCGAGCGUUGUCCGGAUUUAUUGGGCGUAAAGCGAGCGCAGGCGGUUUGAUAAGUCUGAAGUAAAGGCUGUGGCUUAACCAUAGUACGCUUUGGAAACUGUCAAACUUGAGGCAGAAGGGGAGAGUGGAAUUCCAUGUGUAGCGGUGAAAUGCGUAGAUAUAUGGGAGGAACACCGGGUGCGAAAGCGGCUCUCUGGUCUGUAACUGACGCUGAGGCUCGAAAGCGUGGGGAGCGAACAGGAUUAGAUACCCUGGUAGUCCACGCCGUAAACGACGUGAGUGCUAGGUUGUUGGGUCCUUUCCGGACUCAGUGCCGCAGCUAACGCAUUAAGCACUCCGCCUGGGGAGUACGACCGCAGGUUGAAACUCAAAGGAAUUGACGGGGGCCGCACAAGCGGUGGAGCAUGUGGUUUAAUUCGAAGCAACGCGAAGAACCUUACCAGGUCUUGACAUCCCGAUGACCGCCCUAGAGAUAGGGUUUCUCUUCGGAGCAUCCGGUGACAGGUGGUGCAUGGUUGUCGUCAGCUCGUGUCGUGAGAUGUUGGGUUAAGUCCCGCAACGAGCGCAACCCCUAUUGUUAGUUGCCAUCAUUCAGUUGGUGCACUCUAGCGAGACUGCCGGUAUAAACCGGAGGAAGGUGGGGAUGACGUCAAAUCAUCAUGCCCCUUAUGACCUGGGCUACACACGUGCUACAAUGGCUGGUACAACGAGUCGCAGUCGGUGACGGCAAGCUAAUCUCUUAAAGCCAGUCUCAGUUCGGAUUGUAGGCUGCAACUCGCCUACAUGAAGUCGGAAUCGCUAGUAAUCGCGGAUCAGCACGCCGCGGUGAAUACGUUCCCGGGCCUUGUACACACCGCCCGUCACACCACGAGAGUUUGUAACACCCGAAGUCGGUGAGGUAACCUUUUAGGAGCCAGCCGCCUAAGGUGGGAUAGAUGAUUGGGGUGAAGUCGUAACAAGGUAGCCGUAUCGGAAGGUGCGGCUGGAUCACCU